Molecule: ribosomal RNA, 460 nt
Filed under: uncultured bacterium
Lineage: Bacteria
Description: partial 16S ribosomal RNA
Rfam family: Bacterial small subunit ribosomal RNA
Source: RNAcentral
CCUACGGGGGGCAGCAGUGAGGAAUAUUGGUCAAUGGACGAGAGUCUGAACCAGCCAAGUAGCGUGAAGGAUGACUGCCCUAUGGGUUGUAAACUUCUUUUAUAUGGGAAUAAAAUGUUCCACGUGUGGGAUUUUGUAUGUACCAUAUGAAUAAGGAUCGGCUAACUCCGUGCCAGCAGCCGCGGUAAUACGGAGGAUCCGAGCGUUAUCCGGAUUUAUUGGGUUUAAAGGGAGCGUAGGUGGAUUGUUAAGUCAGUUGUGAAAGUUUGCGGCUCAACCGUAAAAUUGCAGUUGAAACUGGCAGUCUUGAGUACAGUAGAGGUGGGCGGAAUUCGUGGUGUAGCGGUGAAAUGCUUAGAUAUCAUGAAGAACUCCGAUUGCGAAGGCAGUUCACUGGACUGCAACUGACACUGAGGCUCGAAAGUGUGGGUAUCAAACAGGAUUAGAUACCCGGGUAGUC